RNAcentral lists this ribosomal RNA (886 nucleotides) under Epitrimerus sp. M6. Its description in RNAcentral is "partial large subunit ribosomal RNA". It matches the Rfam family "Eukaryotic large subunit ribosomal RNA", at positions 366 to 944 of the family's 3401-position model. Lineage: Eukaryota; Metazoa; Arthropoda; Arachnida; Trombidiformes; Eriophyidae. The record is from RNAcentral.
AAAUAGAACUUUGCAGAGAGAGUUAAGAGGGCGUGAAACCGUUAAUUGGCAAACGAAUCGGAGCCACGAAGUCGUUUCGUUAUUGAGUCUUGGGUCGAGUUCAGCUCAAGUUGCUUCAUUGCAGUUUGGGUGUAUUCUCGUACCUGGCCAAAAUUGUAAGCGUACACUGCAACCAGUUAGACGAUUGGUGAUGGGCACAGUUGUGGGUUAGUAGUAGCGCCGUUGGCUUUCGGGCCUCCUGGUGUUGCUGGACUCGCUGGCAAGUGAACUAUGAACCAAAUACUGACUGGCAAAAUGAAAAUCGCCCCUCAGCGGGCGUUGCAUAGAAGGCAACCUGUUGCAUUUGGGUCUACACUCAGCGACCGUUUGGUCUUUAAGCUUGGUAUUUUUGAAUUUAGACUUGCUUGCUACCAUUGGGGCAACUCGUGGUGCUUGUAUAGCUCUAUCUAAUCGGGUGCCGACUUGGCCAGGCGUUGUUUGUUGGUGCUACGAUUGGGCCUGAAUGCGAGCGGGCUCGCAAUUUGAAUUGGCAGUGAGUAGGUCGGCUUUCCGAACGACCCGUCUUGAAACACGGACCAAGGAGUCUAAUUAGGCAUCGAGUCGAUCGGUCUUGAAUAGGCCAGAACGGAGUAGUUCUACUGUUUGAAGGCGCAGAGACAUGUGAUCGUUGUGGUUAUACUAAGCCUGAACGCGCAACAUGUGCCUGUUCUCAAGGAAAUGUAGCAAUAAUUUCCGAGCGGAGCAAAGAGAUGCCUGAUUGGUACCCGAAAGAUGGUGAUGCCUGGGCAAAUUGAAGCCAGAGGAAACUCUGGUGGAGGAUUGCGAUUCUGACGUGCAAAUCGAUCGUCAGACCUGGGUAUAGGGGCGAAAGACUAAUCGAACCAUC